Long non-coding RNA from Mirounga angustirostris (Northern elephant seal), 2822 nucleotides. RefSeq lists it as uncharacterized. NCBI's taxonomy places the organism in Eukaryota, Metazoa, Chordata, Mammalia, Carnivora, Phocidae. The transcript has 3 exons. The record is from RefSeq and is a predicted model, not a curated record.
CCAUGUGAGUGUGUUUAUUUACAAAAGUCAGAACACAAUCUCUUAGUGCGCCAUAGCCUAUUUUUCCCCCUUAAUAACAGACUGUGUUCAUUUUUCCAUGUUGUCAAAUAGUCUUCUGCAGCAUCAGUUUAACACCUUAAGGGAUGUUUGAUCUCAGAGCCCCUGGCAGCCUGCUUUCCCUGACCCCCAUUCUGAGUAGGGAGCCUGCUGCCACAGUUGCUCCAGGAAGUAACCUGGGUCUGCGCCUUGCCUUUCAGAAAGGGAAGGCCCUGGGAAGGCCUUGAGCACCUGCCACUUCCACCCCUCCUGAGCUGAGGCCCCGAUAGCCCACUCAUGGGCACAGAGCCUGCCUGCAACUUCUCCAGCACUGCCCACCGGUGCGACCUGGGAUCCCAACCUCGUGUGGGCACAGCUACUAAGGGCAGGGGAACAACCUGCCCCUGGGGAGCAGUCCACUACCCCUGCCUUGACGCUUCAGUCUCUUUGGCCAGAUGUGGGUGGCUUGCAGGCUGUGGUGAUCAUCAUUCUACCCCUAUUGUCCUCAUCCACUCUGCUGAUCCUCAGCUGCAUGCUAUGGAAGACAUGCUACCGGCGGUCUCGCGUCCCCCACUCCAGCCUGGCGUCCCCAUCAGGAGCCCAGGAAUGUGAAAUGUGGAAUAUAAGACCCAGAAAUGGAGCUGAGUUACAAUAACAUCUGUGAACCUCUGCUGAUGGGCCCCCAGACUGGUUAAUCAACAAUUCCUUUGAGUCAGAAGCCUCUUGCAAUCAAUUCCCCAAACUUUGAAUUUUCAUUUCCUUUCAAAGUCAGUUUCUGUUAUUUUUAAUAACUUUAAAAUUCAGGGAGUAGAGAAAGUAGAAGCUGAAAGGGUAUGUAGGUUUAAUCAGCACAGUCCAAUGUAAGUAUAAUAUGAACCACAUAUGCAAUUUCACAUUUUCUAGUACGCACACUGAGGAAGGUAAAAAAAUGAGUGAAAUUAAUUUUAAUAACAUAUUUUAUUUCACCCACUAUAUAUAAAUAUUUCAGUAUGUAGGCAAUAUUUAAAAACUGUUAAUGAGAUAUUUUAUAUUCUCUUUGAAUUACAUCUUUGAAAUCUGGGGUGGGGAUGCCCCGGGUGGCUCAGUUGGUUAAGCGUCUGCCUUUGGCUCAGGUCAUGAUCCCAGGGUCCUGGGAUCGAGUCCCAUAUGGGACUCCUUGCUCAGCAGGGAUCCUGCUUCUCCCUCUGCCUGCCGUUUCCCCCUGCUUGUGCCCUCUCUCUUUCUCUCUGAUAAAUAAAUAAAUAAAUAAUAAAUAAAUAAAUCUUUGAAAUCUGGGGUGUAUCUUACAUUUAUAGCACAUCUCAAAUCAGACUGGCCACAUUUUGAGCACUCCAUAGCCACAUGAGGUUGGUGGUUAACAUAAUGGACAGUGCAGAUUUAGAUCCUCAGGGCCUUGGAGGGGCAGCUAAAAAGUCCGGGCUUCAUUCUGAAAGCAGUGGACAUCCCCCAAAGAGAUUCAAGCCAGGAAGUAACAUGAUUAAAAAAGAUUCAUUUUAGAAAGAUCAUUCUGACUUCCCCUUAAAGAAUAGACUGGCCAGAAGUUAAGGCUAGCAUUGGUGAGAUCAGCUGGGAGGAGUUAAAGUCAUCCAGAUGAGAGAUGAGGGAUGACGAUGACAGGAUUUGGCAGCGGCAGCAGGAAUACUGAGAUAUAAUUGAAUUCAAGAGAUGCUUAGGAGACAGACACAACAUGCCUCAUCAUCACUGUUGCCCUGAAACAUGAGUGCUAUAUCCUACCUGCACACCUUUGUGUAUCUCCUCCCCGCACACCUUUGUGUAUCUCCUCCCCACCACCCCAUCCCAAGUAUCUUCUUUUCUCUCUGGCAACCAAGGAAGCAAAUCCUCCCAAUUUUUAAGGCUGUAGUCCAUGGUAGCUACGCAUGCAGAAUAGUUCACAGCAGGGGAUCAAUUAACAAAUGUUUCCUUCCUCCCUCAAGAAAGUCUUUUCCAAGGGUGCCUGAAUGACUCAAUCCAUAGAGCAUGAGACUCUUGAUCUCAGGUUCAUGAGUUCAAGCCCCACGUUUGGCUCACUUAAAACAAACAAACAACUGAGGGGCGCCUGGUGGCUCAGUCGUUAAGCGUCUGCCUUCGGCUCAGGUCAUGAUCCCAGGGUCCUGGGAUCGAGCCCCGCAUCGGCUCCCUGCUCCGCGGGAAGCCUGCUUCUCCCUCUCCCACUCCCCCUGCUUGUGUUCCCUCUCUCGCUGUGUCUCUCUCUGUCAAAUAAAUAAAAUUAAAAAAAAAAAAACUGAAAAAAGAAAAAAAGAAAGAAAGUCUUCUCUGAAUGCUCCUGCCCACACCUAACCCCCAAACCUGAAAUAUGAAAACCGGGAAUAUUGGUGUCCCCCCGCCCAACGAGGUAAGCUAAAGGUCCUGUUCUGGGAAGUUGUUGGCAACUCUGCGAGGUGCAGUGAUUUCAGCUGCAUGAGUGAAGGUGGAGAGUUGUAUUGAACCAGGGUUAUGGUUUUGCCAAGAGAAUACAACAAACAGAAAAGAGACAAGAUUGUUGAGGGUGAUCGUGAGAGAAUGAUGCUAAAAGUUGACCAUGGAAUUUAAGCUGGCACGGGAAUCUUUAAGUGCUAUUCGUAAGUAUUCCAAUUCUCCAACCUCAACCCUCCACCUCAACCUUCUGGACUUCGGGUAAAAAUGCACUUUCCUGUUCACUUGACGUUAGGCAUGGCCAUGUGACUAAUUUUGGCCAACUAGUAACAGAUCCUAGCUGGAGCAUAUAAUUGACAACAAAACCCUCAGAGUUCUCUUUUCCCUCUGACAUCGUGACCACCAUGACUUGA